Molecule: ribosomal RNA, 373 nt
Filed under: uncultured organism
Description: partial 16S ribosomal RNA
Rfam family: Bacterial small subunit ribosomal RNA
Source: RNAcentral
GUAGGUGGCAAGCGUUGUCCGGAAUUAUUGGGCGUAAAGCGCGCGCAGGCGGUUCUUUAAGUCUGAUGUGAAAGCCCACGGCUCAACCGUGGAGGGUCAUUGGAAACUGGAGAACUUGAGUACAGAAGAGGAAAGCGGAAUUCCACGUGUAGCGGUGAAGUGCGUAGAGAUGUGGAGGAACACCAGUGGCGAAGGCGGCUUUCUGGUCUGUAACUGACGCUGAGGCGCGAAAGCGUGGGGAGCAAACAGGGAUUAGAUACCCUGGUAGUCCACGCCGUAAACGAUGAGUGCUAAGUGUUAGGGGGUUUCCGCCCCCUUAGUGCUGCAGCUAACGCAUUAAGCACUCCGCCUGGGGAGUACGGCCGCAAGGCUG